CUUGAAAGAAUCAUUCUAUAUGAUAUGAUAGGAUAGACUCUUCUAUUUUGUAGAACCUUAAGUGAUUUGGAUUUAAACCUAUGGAGAAAGAAGGCAUAUACAGAUGAGAUGUCAGUGUGAAGGCCAUUCCAAGAUUAUUUUAGAGGCUUUCCUUGUUAAUCACCAUGAAACAUUCCAUGAGACCCCAUAAAAUGGCUCCUUUCAUCUCUAUUAUCUACAAAGGCACAGACUAUCUGCAUCUUCUUCGUAGAUGAGCACAUGAGGACACAAAAGAGUAAUUUGAGGUAACCUGGUUGUGAUCAUUAAUUUUAAGUGUCAACUUGACUGGAUUAAGGAAUAACCAAAGAACUGGUAAAGCAUCGUUUCUAUGUGUGACCGUGACGGCAUUUCAAGAAAAGAUAGAACUCCAGACUCUUCGGCCUUAAGACUCUGGAACUUACACCAACAGCCGCCCUGGAUUUCCAAGUCUUCAGCCUGGGGCUGAGAAAUACAGCAUUGGCUUUCCUGGUUCUGAGGCUUUUGGACUUUCACCCUGGUAUGUUAUUGGCAUCCCAGGGUUUUCAGGUUGCAGAAGUUCUGUCAUGAGGCUUCUCAGUAUCCCGUAAUCAUCUGACUCAAUUCCCCUAAUCAAUCCUAUCUGCUUAUCUAUCUAAUCUAUUUAUUAUCUAUCUAUAUCAUCUAUCUAUCAUCUGUCUGUCUACUUAUUAUCUAUUAUGUAUCCUAUUAGUUCUUUCUGUCUGUAUUAGUCUGUUUUCACACUGCUAUAAAGAAUGGCCUGAGCCUGGGUAAUUUAUAAAGCAAAGAGGUUUCAUUGACUCAAUUCCGUACAGCUGGGGAGGCUUCAGUAAACUUACAAUCACGGCAGAGGGUGAAAGGAAAACAUGGUAUGUCUUACAUGGCAGCAGGAGAGAAGGAGAGAUCGAGAUGGGAAGUACCACAUUUUAGAACCAUCAGCUCUUGUGAGAACUCACUAUUAGGAGAACAGCAUGGGGGAACCAUCCCAAGAUACAAUCACCUCCCACCAGGUCCCUCCUUCAACACAUGGGGAUUACAAUUUGAGAUAAAAUUUGAAUGGGGACAAAAAGGCAAACCAUAUCACUGUCACUCUUGAGAACCCUAACUAAUACACUGGUUUAAUACUAAAAUUUCAAGAAUUGUUAUAAAUAAAACAGGAAUAUAUAUUUGGAGACUGUAGGAUCUCUUUAGAGUCCCUAUUCAUAUGCACCAUUAUUUUCUUUUUAAUAGUCAAAAUAGGCUUGACUGCUUUAACAAAAUUGGCCUUUUUUAUUACUUCAACCUUUAUAAUUAAUUUUGAAGUUAGACUAACUUUUUUUCCAGACUCUUCAGAUGGUAAAACAUAUGGCACUGUUGUUGUUUAGAUGAAGUAAAAGAUAAUGUGCUAUUAUAUGGUUAUUAUGUAAAUAGAGUUAUUUGAGUCCCAGUGGGAGAUUAUUUAGGUCACUGAAGUAGCUACUCAAUAGUUUUAAAAAUAAAAAUAUCUUUGAGCAACAAAACAACUGUAGUUAUCUUGAAAACUGACAAUACAUUUUGUUGGAACCUAAAGGUUGAAUAUUACACUAAUCAAGAAAGAAUUAUGUUCUAGUUUAGAUCUUAAUUUCUACCAUAAUAAAAGUUGUUUACAUUAAAAUAGUAUGUAUGUUUUUUGAAAUUAAUGUUUUUGCUAGACAUACCCAAAGGCCCAUUUAGAUAUAAUUUGAGAGAACAGUACUCACUACUUUUCUAAGCACCUACAUUUUUGUACCGUAUUUUGUAUAUAAUUUAGGCUAACAUUAUAAUUCUUACACAGUAAAAUGAGUCCUUUCGUUCCCUCACUGCAGAAGCAAUACAUGUAAUAGUCUGUAAGAAUUAGUGUUUUCUAACACGUUCCUUACUUUUAAGUAAUUAUACAAACAGGAAAAGGUGAGCUCAGUAUUUUCUACUGUGUAGCUUGAAAUUAUUUGGCAAUUGUUAGAUUUUUGUAAAACAACAAAUGAUGAUAAUUUGAAUGUGCAGUAUGAAUGAUAAUUGUACUUUUCAAACAAAUUAUCGUUUGUUGAAGGUACCUGAGAAUGAAAGAAAUAAGACAGAGAGAGUGUGUCAAGAGUUCCUUAAAUUACAACUUUAAGCUGUUUUAACUCAUGCUUGAAGCAUUUAGGAUUCAAGGAAAUAUGGGUUAUAGGCAAUUGUGAGUAGUACAGUUACCCUCAGUCAUUAGCAGGGGGUAGGUUCUAAAAUCCCCAGUGGAUGUCUACAAGCACAUAGACAGUACCAAAUCCUAUAUAUACUGUUAUUUUUUUUCUACCCAUACCUAUCUAUGAUAAAGUUUAAUUUAUAAAUUUGGCACAGCAAAAUAUUAUCAACAAUAAUGGAUGAUAAAGUUGAAUGAUUAUCAUUAAGUAAGCAUGCUUCCUCUCUCUCUCAAAAUAUCUUUAUACUUUUAGAUUGCUGUUGACUGCUGGUAAAUGGAACUGCAAAAGAUGAAAUCAUGAAUGAGAGAGGACUACUGUAUAUGUAAUUUGGUAAUUAAAGAGCGAGAGACUACUGCUUCGUAUUGUUAUGAAGGGGAGAGCAGGAGGAUCCAAGAUGUAGUACAGAUGUUUGACACUCAUAGUGAUGAAAGCAGAAAGCAGGUGAAUAAACAGAUAAUGAACUGGUAUCUUGAUAAACAAAAGAUAUAACUAGUUAUCAGAAAAUUGCUUUCUUGAUGUAAGGGCAUGAGGAAACUUAUUCACAGAAAAUAAAAGUCUUUUAGAUGGCUUUAUUGGCUGCAAUGGGGCUGUGAUAUUCAGGGAUAUACAGUGAAAAUAAAUCCAUGAGCUAAGAAGCUUCUUGUUGGCUUAUUCCAACCUUCCUUUAUUCAAUUAUCCACACUUUGAAUUAAUAAAUACUAUGUUUCUGGUCUUGUUCAAGGUGUUGGGGUUUCAUCUAACAGGAAAUGGUGUACUACAACUCAAUUCUUGUGCUGUCUUAGUACGUUCCUGCUGCUAUAAGAAAAUACCUUAAGCUGGGCAAUUUAUAAAGAACAGAAAUUUAUUUCUCAUAGUACCAAAGACUAUGAGUCCAAGAUCUAAGCAUGGGAAGGUUGAGUGUUUGGUGAGAGCUCAGUCUCUGCUUCUGAAAUGGCACUUUGUUGCUGCAUCCUCCAGAGUGGAGGAACACUGUGUUGGUGGAAAGGAUAGAAGAAGUGUGGAAGGGACAGAAGAAGUGUGGAAGGAUGAAGGCUGCAUGAAGCCUUUGGUAUAAGGAUCUUAAUCUAAUUCAUGAAAGAAGAACCCUCUGACCUAAUGUUUUCUUAAAGGCAACACCUCUUAAUAUUAUCACAUUGGUCAACAAGUUUCAACACCUAAGUUUUGGCGGGAUCACAUUCAAAACAUAGAAGAUUCUAACCACCCCCACCCCCCAAAUUUAGCACAUAUCCCACAGAUUAAGGGUUUGGUACUUCACGAGACUGCCCUUGUUUUAGAUGCCAGCCAUCAGUGGAGAGUCCUCGGGUCACCUGCACUUCUCACAAAAUGCCUACAGAUCGGGAAACAGUUGUGGGUAAUGAUUAUACAAUGAUACAAAUGGAUUGUCUGUAUUGCAUAAUUUAAAAUUUUCAAAUAAAGACAUAAGGGAUCAUGAAACAGAAUCCUACUGCAAGAAAAAUUUUAUUGAUUAAAUACUAAACUUGAAGAUAAAUGUUGACAACAGGGAAGAAAAUGUUCAGAAGUUUUUAUUCAUGAUGGGAGUAAGAAAAGGAAGAGAAGAGGGGUAAGAAUUUUAUCUAAAUGGCUCACUUUGUAGAACUUGAAACCAGUCGGAAAUAGGGGAUCUUGGUAGAAAAUAUAGUUCCUUGGUUCUAUAUAAUGAUAAUAAAAUGUGUCUG
This 3865-nucleotide long non-coding RNA is filed under the name Homo sapiens (human). RNAcentral describes it as "HSALNT0090713". Lineage: Eukaryota; Metazoa; Chordata; Mammalia; Primates; Hominidae. The record is from RNAcentral.